GCGGCAGACGGGUGCGUAACGCGUGGGAAUCUGCCCUUAGGUACGGAAUAACUCAGGGAAACUUGAGCUAAUACCGUAUAAUGACUCCGGUCCAAAGAUUUAUCGCCUAAGGAUGAGCCCGCGUCGGAUUAGCUAGUUGGUGAGGUAAAGGCUCACCAAGGCGACGAUCCGUAGCUGGUCUGAGAGGAUGAUCAGCCACACUGGGACUGAGACACGGCCCAGACUCCUACGGGAGGCAGCAGUGGG
This 246-nucleotide ribosomal RNA is filed under the name uncultured Sphingomonadaceae bacterium. RNAcentral's name for it is "partial 16S ribosomal RNA". It matches the Rfam family "Bacterial small subunit ribosomal RNA", at positions 95 to 358 of the family's 1533-position model. The record is from RNAcentral. Lineage: Bacteria; Pseudomonadati; Pseudomonadota; Alphaproteobacteria; Sphingomonadales; Sphingomonadaceae.